AAUUUAACUUGGGAGUCAGAACAUGGGUGAUAAGGUCCGUGUUCGAAAGGGAAACAGCCCAGACCACCAGCUAAGGUCCCAAAAUAUAUGUUAAGUGGAAAAGGAUGUGGCGUUGCCCAGACAACUAGGAUGUUGGCUUAGAAGCAGCCAUCAUUUAAAGAGUGCGUAAUAGCUCACUAGUCGAGUGACACUGCGCCGAAAAUGUACCGGGGCUAAACAUAUUACCGAAGCUGUGGAUUGUCCGUAGGACAAUGGUAGGAGAGCGUUCUAAGGGCGUCGAAGCAUGAUCGCAAGGACAUGUGGAGCGCUUAGAAGUGAGAAUGCCGGUGUGAGUAGCGAAAGACGGGUGAGAAUCCCGUCCACCGAUUGACUAAGGUUUCCAGAGGAAGGCUCGUCCGCUCUGGGUUAGUCGGGUCCUAAGCUGAGGCCGACAGGCGUAGGCGAUGGAUAACAGGUUGAUAUUCCUGUACCACCUAGUAUCGUUUUAAUCGAUGGGGGGACGCAGUAGGAUAGGCGAAGCGUGCUAUUGGAUUGCACGUCCAAGCAGUAAGACUGAGUGUUAGGCAAAUCCGGCACUCAUAAGGUCAAGCUGUGAUGGGGAGAGGAAAUUGUUUCCUCGAGUCGUUGAUUUCACACUGCCAAGAAAAGCCUCUAGAUAGAUAACAGGUGCCCGUACCGCAAACCGACACAGGUAGUCAAGAUGAGAAUUCUAAGGUGAGCGAGCGAACUCUCGUUAAGGAACUCGGCAAAAUGACCCCGUAACUUCGGGAGAAGGGGUGCUCUUUAGGGUUAACGCCCAGAAGAGCCGCAGUGAAUAGGCCCAAGCGACUGUUUAUCAAAAACACAGGUCUCUGCUAAACCGUAAGGUGAUGUAUAGGGGCUGACGCCUGCCCGGUGCUGGAAGGUUAAGAGGAGUAGUUAGCUUCUGCGAAGCUACGAAUCGAAGCCCCAGUAAACGGCGGCCGUAACUAUAACGGUCCUAAGGUAGCGAAAUUCCUUGUCGGGUAAGUUCCGACCCGCACGAAAGGCGUAACGAUUUGGGCACUGUCUCAACGAGAGACUCGGUGAAAUCAUAGUACCUGUGAAGAUGCAGGUUACCCGCGACAGGACGGAAAGACCCCGUGGAGCUUUACUGUAGCCUGAUAUUGAAAUUCGGCACAGCUUGUACAGGAUAGGUAGGAGCCUUUGAAACGUGAGCGCUAGCUUACGUGGAGGCAUUGGUGGGAUACUACCCUAGCUGUGUUGGCUUUCUAACCCGCACCACUUAUCGUGGUGGGAGACAGUGUCAGGUGGGCAGUUUGACUGGGGCGGUCGCCUCCUAAAAGGUAACGGAGGCGCUCAAAGGUUCCCUCAGAAUGGUUGGAAAUCAUUCAUAGAGUGUAAAGGCAUAAGGGAGCUUGACUGCGAGACUUACAAGUCGAGCAGGGUCGAAAGACGGACUUAGUGAUCCGGUGGUUCCGCAUGGAAGGGCCAUCGCUCAACGGAUAAAAGCUACCCCGGGGAUAACAGGCUUAUCUCCCCCAAGAGUUCACAUCGACGGGGAGGUUUGGCACCUCGAUGUCGGCUCAUCGCAUCCUGGGGCUGUAGUCGGUCCCAAGGGUUGGGCUGUUCGCCCAUUAAAGCGGUACGCGAGCUGGGUUCAGAACGUCGUGAGACAGUUCGGUCCCUAUCCGUCGUGGGCGUAGGAAAUUUGAGAGGAGCUGUCCUUAGUACGAGAGGACCGGGAUGGACAUACCUCUGGUGUACCAGUUGUCGUGCCAACGGCAUAGCUGGGUAGCUAUGUAUGGACGGGAUAAGUGCUGAAAGCAUCUAAGCAUGAAGCCCCCCUCAAGAUGAGAUUUCCCAACUUCGGUUAUAAGAUCCCUCAAAGAUGAUGAGGUUAAUAGGUUCGAGGUGGAAGCGUGGUGACACGUGGAGCUGACGAAUACUAAUCGAUCGAAGACUUAAUCAA
RNAcentral lists this ribosomal RNA (1951 nucleotides) under Staphylococcus warneri. RNAcentral's name for it is "partial 23S ribosomal RNA". It matches the Rfam family "Bacterial large subunit ribosomal RNA", at positions 969 to 2925 of the family's 2925-position model. The record is from RNAcentral. Lineage: Bacteria; Bacillati; Bacillota; Bacilli; Caryophanales; Staphylococcaceae.